AAAGGGCAGAGAGGAAGUGGGACCUUGGCGUGGCCUAGACCACCGUCACCUUUUGCUCUACGGAGUGCGGCUCAACUGGACCUCACCCGUGCCUCCGAGACUGCCUAUGCCACAACCGACUGAUGACUUCACAGAGCGUUGUGUUUGUGUUGUCCGCGUUCCCGGUACCGAGACGAAUGUGAUCUGUGGACACCGACUCAUGUGACGGAGGGGGGUUACGGCCACGAGGAGGUGACCAACAACGUUUGUAAAAAAAAAAAAAA
Molecule: long non-coding RNA, 263 nt
Organism: Suricata suricatta (meerkat)
Lineage: Eukaryota; Metazoa; Chordata; Mammalia; Carnivora; Herpestidae
Exons: 2
Source: RefSeq, a predicted model, not a curated record